RNAcentral lists this ribosomal RNA (274 nucleotides) under uncultured bacterium. Its description in RNAcentral is "partial 16S ribosomal RNA". It matches the Rfam family "Bacterial small subunit ribosomal RNA", at positions 523 to 796 of the family's 1533-position model. The record is from RNAcentral.
AUACGGAGGGUGCAAGCGUUGUUCGGAAUUACUGGGCGUAAAGCGCGCGUAGGUGGUCUGUUAUGUCAGAUGUGAAAGUCCACGGCUCAACCGUGGAAGUGCAUUUGAAACUGGCAGACUUGAGUACUGGAGGGGGUAGUGGAAUUCCCGGUGUAGAGGUGAAAUUCGUAGAUAUCGGGAGGAAUACCGGUGACGAAGGCGACUACCUGGCCAGAUACUGACACUGAGGUGCGAAAGCGUGGGGAGCAAACAGGAUUAGAAACCCCGGUAGUCC